Prunus dulcis (almond) is the source of this 291-nucleotide long non-coding RNA. RefSeq lists it as uncharacterized. The record is from RefSeq and is a predicted model, not a curated record. The transcript has 2 exons. Lineage: Eukaryota; Viridiplantae; Streptophyta; Magnoliopsida; Rosales; Rosaceae.
CUCAGUUUUACUCCUACAAGCAAGAUGGGGAAGCAGUUAAUGGCUAAAUGUAGGACCCGGCAAGAGGAAAAUGAGGAGAUAGGCAAGGAAGCUUCUGAGGGAAAGAUGCAGGAAUUAUCCAUGAAACUUGCUUCGCAAAAAUCCCUAAAUGCAGAACUGAGAAGUCAAUUUGAAGGUCGGGGAUAUAUCAAUUGAAAUUUUAGAUUUAUCUCGUAUUAGUAGAAUGUAUAUGCUAAAUGGUACUUCUAAUGCCCUGGCGCAAUAUUAUUUGGCAUUUUAUAUUUUUAACUA